RNAcentral lists this ribosomal RNA (450 nucleotides) under uncultured bacterium. RNAcentral describes it as "bacterial SSU rRNA". It matches the Rfam family "Bacterial small subunit ribosomal RNA", at positions 29 to 524 of the family's 1533-position model. The record is from RNAcentral.
AACGAACGAUGGCGGCAUGCCUAACACAUGCAAGUCGAACGAGACCUUCGGGUCUAGUGGCGCACGGGUGCGUAACGCGUGGGAAUCUGCCCUUGGGUUCGGAAUAACAGCGAGAAAUUGCUGCUAAUACCGGAUGAUGACGUAAGUCCAAAGAUUUAUCGCCCAAGGAUGAGCCCGCGUAGGAUUAGCUAGUUGGUGAGGUAAAGGCUCACCAAGGCGACGAUCCUUAGCUGGUCUGAGAGGAUGAUCAGCCACACUGGGACUGAGACACGGCCCAGACUCCUACGGGAGGCAGCAGUGGGGAAUAUUGGACAAUGGGCGAAAGCCUGAUCCAGCAAUGCCGCGUGAGUGAUGAAGGCCUUAGGGUUGUAAAGCUCUUUUACCCGGGAUGAUAAUGACAGUACCGGGAGAAUAAGCUCCGGCUAACUCCGUGCCAGCAGCCGCGGUAAU